This 266-nucleotide unclassified non-coding RNA is filed under the name Basidiomycota sp. Its description in RNAcentral is "partial contains small subunit ribosomal RNA, internal transcribed spacer 1, and 5.8S ribosomal RNA". The stretch from base 1 to 47 matches the Rfam family "Eukaryotic small subunit ribosomal RNA", at positions 1785 to 1831 of the family's 1831-position model. Lineage: Eukaryota; Fungi; Basidiomycota. The record is from RNAcentral.
AAAGUCGUAACAAGGUUUCCGUAGGUGAACCUGCGGAAGGAUCAUUAUUGAAUUUUUGAAGAAGUUGUUUGCUGGCCUCUCGAGGGGGGCAUGUGCACGCUUCGUUCAAAUCUCCAACCCUUUAUACACCUGUGCACUUUUUGUAGGGUUGUGGCUGUAAAAGGCUGCACUCUAUGUUUAUCAUAUAAACCCUUUAGUAUGUGUAGAAUGUUCAUUGCGUAUAACGCAUCUUUAUACAACUUUCAGCAACGGAUCUCUUGGCUCUC